GCCGAAUAAUGGCGACGCGAAAGAGAAAUCGAGUAGGGCCCUGGGGAGAGUACACGCGCAAGCGAGAAAUUUAAAGGAAAUUGACGGAAGAACACCACAAGGAGUGGAGUGUGCGGCUUAAUUUGACUCAACGCGGGACAACUUACCGGGCCCGACGACCGUACGAGUGUGACACACGAUAGGUCGAAGAGUGGUGCAUGGCCGUUAACGACGAGUGGAGUGAUCUUUGGGKUAAGUCCGUAAAUUAGUGAGACCUCAGCCGUAAGGGACAGGUGCGCAAAGCACAGGAAGGAUGGGUCAAGGACAGGUCAGUGAUGCCCUUAGAUGGUCCGGGCUGCACGCGCACUACAGUGGUCGCCGAAAUUACCUGAUAAUUUUAAAGGCGAUCGAGAGGGAAUGAGCUUUGUAAGAGGCUCAGGAACGAGGAAUUGCUAGUAAUCGCGGACUCAUUAAGACGCGAUGAAUACGUCCCUGUUCUUUGUACACACCGCCCGUCGUUAUCGAAGAUGAAGACAGGCGCGAACGAUCUACCAGAAAGUGAGCGCAGGUCUUUAGAUCUGAUACAAGUCGUAACAAGGUAGCUGUAGGAGAACCUGUAGCUGG
RNAcentral lists this ribosomal RNA (603 nucleotides) under Loma branchialis. Its description in RNAcentral is "SSU rRNA". It matches the Rfam family "Microsporidia small subunit ribosomal RNA", at positions 708 to 1305 of the family's 1311-position model. Lineage: Eukaryota; Fungi; Microsporidia; Glugeidae. The record is from RNAcentral.